Molecule: ribosomal RNA, 422 nt
Filed under: uncultured bacterium
Lineage: Bacteria
Description: bacterial SSU rRNA
Rfam family: Bacterial small subunit ribosomal RNA
Source: RNAcentral
GAAUAUUGGACAAUGGGGGCAACCCUGAUCCAGCCAUGCCGCGUGUGUGAAGAAGGCCUUUUGGUUGUAAAGCACUUUAAGCAGUGAAGAAGACUCCAUGGUUAAUACCCAUGGACGAUGACCUUAGCUGCAGAAUAAGACACGGCCAACUCUGUUCCAGCAGCCGCGGUAAUCCCGAGGGUGCAAGCGUUAGUCGGAAUUACUGGGCGUAAAGCGAGAGUAGGUGGCUUGAUAAGUCAGAUGUGAAAUCCCCGGGCUUAACCUGGGAACUGCAUCUGAUACUGUUAGGCUAGAAUAGGUGAGAGGAAGGUAGAAUUCCAGGUGUAGCGGUGAAAUGCGUAGAGAUCUGGAGGAAUACCGAUGGCGAAGGCAGCCUUCUGGCAUCAUAUUGACACUGAGGUUCGAAAGCGUGGGUAGCAAAC